Gopherus evgoodei (Goodes thornscrub tortoise) is the source of this 211-nucleotide long non-coding RNA. RefSeq lists it as uncharacterized. The transcript has 3 exons. NCBI's taxonomy places the organism in Eukaryota, Metazoa, Chordata, Testudines, Testudinidae. The record is from RefSeq and is a predicted model, not a curated record.
AUUUAGUCUGGAGACUGAGAGGGGAGAUGAUAACCUUUUCCAAGUACAUAAAAGGUUGUUACAAAAGAAGGGAGAAAAAUUGUUCUCUUAACCUCCGAGGAUAAAACAAGCAGCAAUGGGCUUAAAUUGCAGCAAGGGAAGUUUAGGCUGGACAUUAGAGAAAGCUUCCUGUCAGGCUAGUUAAGCACAGGGAUUAAUUGCCUAGGGCGGC